Molecule: microRNA precursor, 65 nt
Filed under: Pongo abelii (Sumatran orangutan)
Lineage: Eukaryota; Metazoa; Chordata; Mammalia; Primates; Hominidae
Description: miRNA
Source: RNAcentral
GUGGGGCAGGGGCAGAGGGCAUCGGACGACAGCCGCCUGGUUCCCAUGCCAUACUUUUGCCUCAG